Molecule: unclassified non-coding RNA, 244 nt
Filed under: Hevea brasiliensis (rubber tree)
Lineage: Eukaryota; Viridiplantae; Streptophyta; Magnoliopsida; Malpighiales; Euphorbiaceae
Source: RNAcentral
UGCGUCAACCCGCCCCCCGGCGUGAAAUCCAUCGACUGGAUCAAGGGCGGAAUGAAGAACGACAAGUGCAAGUAAUUUCCUGCGCUUGAGGCCAUAGGGCGGUGCGAUAGCAAAAAUCGCGCCGCCCUAUGCUUCACGACAACCGGCCUGAAGUAUCUUCAUGAACACGUUUCUUACGGUCAUCCUCGACGGCCUGAUCCAGGCAUCGUGGCUCUUUAUCGUCGCGCUGGGCCUGACCCUCGUU